This 723-nucleotide ribosomal RNA is filed under the name Vibrio sp. 7G11. Its description in RNAcentral is "bacterial SSU rRNA". It matches the Rfam family "Bacterial small subunit ribosomal RNA", at positions 33 to 735 of the family's 1533-position model. RNAcentral also lists the same sequence under 7 other names. Lineage: Bacteria; Pseudomonadati; Pseudomonadota; Gammaproteobacteria; Vibrionales; Vibrionaceae. The record is from RNAcentral.
ACGCUGGCGGCAGGCCUAACACAUGCAAGUCGAGCGGAAACGACACUAACAAUCCUUCGGGUGCGUUAAUGGGCGUCGAGCGGCGGACGGGUGAGUAAUGCCUAGGAAAUUGCCUUGAUGUGGGGGAUAACCAUUGGAAACGAUGGCUAAUACCGCAUAAUGCCUACGGGCCAAAGAGGGGGAUCUUCGGACCUCUCGCGUCAAGAUAUGCCUAGGUGGGAUUAGCUAGUUGGUGAGGUAAUGGCUCACCAAGGCGACGAUCCCUAGCUGGUCUGAGAGGAUGAUCAGCCACACUGGAACUGAGACACGGUCCAGACUCCUACGGGAGGCAGCAGUGGGGAAUAUUGCACAAUGGGCGAAAGCCUGAUGCAGCCAUGCCGCGUGUAUGAAGAAGGCCUUCGGGUUGUAAAGUACUUUCAGUUGUGAGGAAGGGGGUAACGUUAAUAGCGUUAUCUCUUGACGUUAGCAACAGAAGAAGCACCGGCUAACUCCGUGCCAGCAGCCGCGGUAAUACGGAGGGUGCGAGCGUUAAUCGGAAUUACUGGGCGUAAAGCGCAUGCAGGUGGUUCAUUAAGUCAGAUGUGAAAGCCCGGGGCUCAACCUCGGAACUGCAUUUGAAACUGGUGAACUAGAGUGCUGUAGAGGGGGGUAGAAUUUCAGGUGUAGCGGUGAAAUGCGUAGAGAUCUGAAGGAAUACCAGUGGCGAAGGCGGCCCCCUGGACA